CGGUCCCCAGCGGGCGUGUGCGGUGCGAGGGGGCGGCGGCGGGGAGGUGGGGAGGGGGGGGAGCGCCUCGCCCCGACCUUUAAUUAGAAACGCGCGGAGCAGCCUCUGCAAUAUUCAUGGCCCUGGCGCGGCUCCCGCCCGGCUCUCCCCGGCCGCGGGGCCGCUGCCCGCCGUCACCCGCCGGGGGCCGCGCGGCGGGGGAGGGCGGGGAAGCCGCGUGUUUACCAGGAACUUCGGCUCGGGGAAGGGGAGGUGGUGGGGCGCUGCCGGGGAAGAGGAAACCUAUUUCUGCUCCCGCUGGCCGGAAAGCCCGCGCAGAGUUUUGCAGUGUUGGAUCCAUGCAAAGCUACUGUGGAAAUUGUCCUGAACCAGCAGCAAAAGGAAAUAUUUAUGCUAACAGCCAAAAGUCAUCUCAGGCAACGUAAGGAUAUCUCACAUACGACUCGUUAACAGCAUCUGAAUGCCUCUUCAUGACCAGUUUCGUAGUAAGAAACGCUGCUUUCUACGAGGAGGCAUGAGGUUUAUUCAACAGUAAUUCAAGAGCACCAUAAGGAGCAGCCUAGAGAUUGAAGACAUCGACUCCUAGCCUUUCUUGUGCAGAAUCACUUCAAGUCCACUGGAGGUUUUCCACUAAUCUGGGCUUGUGAUUAUUGUCUCUUCUUGUAUGGAAGACUGCCAUUCUUUAGAGGAGAGAAAACAUCUUGAGUCAGCCAAAGUGCGGGAAAUCCAGGGCCUGGCACACACAGGCUACGUUUCUAGGAGUAAAUGUAAUGUGCUCAAGACCAUUGCUAAAGACUGUGUUAAUUAAGCCAGCUGGCACAGGAUAGGUUACAUCCAUUCUGUCCAUACUUCUUAUUCCCUGUAAGAGGACAGCCUUACGCGAACUACUAAUUACUUCCUAUGCUUCCUAACUUCCCAACAGUACCACAGAAUCAAUGGGGAGAGUUGUCACAACAACGUGUCAGGGUUUGCUAUAGCAGUUUAACAGUGUAUAUGGCUGUUCCAGUGCCAGGAACCCUCCCUAGCAGCACUCAGUUUUGUCUUCUAGUAUAGGCGCAGCCUGUGAGUUCUGCCUGUAUUUCAGUGAUCACCAGUCAUCCUAUGAGGAUUGUUACCAGUUGGAAGAACCUACAGGGGCUUUUUUUGCACCAUGGCCUAAACUGGAGCAAAACAAACAUCAAAAUCUGAGAAUUCAUAAGCAGCUUUGGAAAUAGUUCUGUGUCUUUACUGUCAGGCAGCUGUACAAAGCCUCCACUGGAGGCAGCAAAGGGUCUAUGUAAAUCAGGAAGAUUCACAGUGAAAUCAUAUUUGCAUCAAAAUAGAAUAAAAAGGGUCUAAAAAUAUCUUUUUUUUUUUUUUUCCUCUUGUGUACAUUUUCUUUUGAGUAGAUCCUAUAUUGCAAUGAAAUAAAACUGCCAAUACUUUUAGUUUUAGCUUGAGGGAAAAGAAGCGUUUAAAAAGCAAUAUUAUAAGACCUUGGCAAGAUGGUCUUUCUACUAAGACAGAAAAUGACUUUGCCUCACAUUACAUUAUUUUUAACAAUCUAUACUGUACUUACUGAAUUCUUUACUAACACGAUUGCUCUCUUCAGCCUCUUUCAUCUCAUUCCCCUCCAAAAACUCAGAACCAUGCUAAAUGGUUCUAAAACUGAAAAUUGUCUCUAUUUAACAUUCAUUACAAAGUGGAGAAAAUCUUCAAUUUAUAUGUGGUGAUUUUUUUUGUUGUUGUUUUGUUUGUUUGUUAUGUUUUUUUGUUUGUUUGUUUGUUUUUGGCUGGUGUUAAAUUUCUGUGUUCCAAAAAUAAUGUUAUAAAGACCUUUUCUAUGAUCUAAUUUUUUUUAAUUUUCACUAUUUUGGAAACACAGCUAGAUGAAGGAAAAACAAAAACAAAAAAAACACACCACAAAAUAGCUGUGUAACUGUGAAAAGACUUUCCAUUGCUGAAUUAGUACCUGUAUGCUGCCAUCAAAAAUACAAAUCUAACUGACGAUUCACUGUUUACGUUAUUCAUUCGGGUUUUACAUGGGGCUCAGCUUAGAUAAUAAAAGCAUCCAUUUUCACAUUUUCUAGUUGGCACUCUUAUCUGGGGAAGUCUUUAUACGUUUUUAUAAUGAAUUAGAGGAAAAAGAUAACUCAAGGGAAAGGCAUUUGUCUUAAAAUGUUAAUUUCCAAUUAAAAUAUUGAAUGCA
Long non-coding RNA from Gallus gallus (chicken), 2188 nucleotides. Lineage: Eukaryota; Metazoa; Chordata; Aves; Galliformes; Phasianidae. The record is from Ensembl.